Molecule: ribosomal RNA, 253 nt
Filed under: uncultured prokaryote
Description: partial 16S ribosomal RNA
Rfam family: Bacterial small subunit ribosomal RNA
Source: RNAcentral
UACGAGAGCCUCGAGCGUUAUCCGGAAUUAUUGGGCGUAAAGGGUGCGUAGGUGGUUCUGUUAGUCUUUUGUUAAAGCCCCGAGCUUAACUUGGGAAUCGCGAAAGAAACGGCAGAACUAGAAAGUGUGAGAGGCGUACGGAACUCAUGGUGUAGGGGUGAAAUCCGUUGAUAUCAUGGGGAACACCAAAAGCGAAGGCAGUACGCUGGCGCAUAUUUGACACUGAAGCACGAAAGCGUGGGUAGCGAAUGGG